CCUACGUGUGGCAGCAGUGAGGAAUAUUGGUCAAUGGCCGAGAGGCUGAACCAGCCAAGUAGCGUGAAGGAUGACUGCCCUAUGGGUUGUAAACUUCUUUUAUAUGGGAAUAAAACGUUCCACGUGUGGGACUUUGUAUGUACCAUAUGAAUAAGGAUCGGCUAACUCCGUGCCAGCAGCCGCGGUAAUACGGAGGAUCCGAGCGUUAUCCGGAUUUUUUGGGUUUAAAGGGAGCGUAGGUGGAUUGUUAAGUCAGUUGUGAAAGUUUGCGGGUCAACCGUAAAAUUGCAGUUGAAACUGGCAGUCUUGAGUACAGGAGAGGUGGGCGGAAUUCGUGGUGUAGCGGUGAAAUGCUUAGAUAUCACGAAGAACUCCGAUUGCGAAGGCAGUUCACUGGACUGCAACUGACACUGAGGCUCGAAAGUGUGGGUAUCAAACAGGAUUAGAUACCCCUGUAGUC
Molecule: ribosomal RNA, 460 nt
Filed under: uncultured bacterium
Lineage: Bacteria
Description: partial 16S ribosomal RNA
Rfam family: Bacterial small subunit ribosomal RNA
Source: RNAcentral